This is a long non-coding RNA of Stylophora pistillata, 205 nucleotides long. NCBI's taxonomy places the organism in Eukaryota, Metazoa, Cnidaria, Anthozoa, Scleractinia, Pocilloporidae. The record is from RefSeq and is a predicted model, not a curated record.
CCAGAGUUUAAGUAGUGGUUGAUAAUGAAAACGAUUUGGGUUUGUAUCAUCUUAACUUUGGGCCUGUCUUCAGAUUUAUCUCAGGCAAAAGGUGGCUGUCGAGAUCAAAAAAUGGACAUCGCGAUUCUGGCCGACGUAUCAAAAAGCAUGACUCGUGAGCAGCGAAGCGAUCAGAUAAAACUAAUCAAAGAGCUGGUGGAAAAGA